GAUUAGGAGGGUCGGCGGCGGUGAGUGAGAGGGAACAAAGAACCCUCGAACAGGGUAGCAGCGACUAAGGGAGGAAGUAGCCCUAGGGGUAGGGUGGUUGGUGGUGUCGGCUCGCGGAGGUGGAACGAAAAUCGCGGUGGGUUGGUCUAGCGUUGGAGGAAGAGGAGAACGGCUCGGUGGUGUGGGCGUCGGAGCGACGGCGCUCGGAGGACAGGACUAGCGCGUCCGGAGGAGCAAGGAGGUAGAGCGCGUCCUCGAGCGAGGGCUCGAGUCGACGCAAGUGCGGGCUAGUGGCGCGAGGACCUAGGAUGGCUGGGGCACGUGGUACUCGAGGGAGUGUACCACGGGAACACGUGGCCCGAGAAGUUGUUGGGGACGCAGCGGGUGCAGUUCGGCGGCGGCACGGUCAGCGGUUCGGUGCGGCGGCCUCGUGGUCCUGAGAGGGCGUGGAGCAGCGGCUAGCCUUGGCACGGAGGAGGCGGCAGGGGCGCGACGUGAGGUGACGACGAAGGGGACGCUGGGCUCUCGCAACGGAGGAGACGAAGCUACGUCCUCUUGCUGCCGGAGCGAGUACGCGUGGAGGUCGCGGUCGUCCCGACGCGGCUAGGCGACAGGGUUCCGGUUCGUCGGCCGAACGGGACGCGGACGGAGGGGGUCUAGUCGCAACUCGGCCGCGGGAAGCCAGGGGCGCGACGGCCGCUCGUAGUAGUCCGGGUCCUUCACGAGGCGGCAGCAACGACAAGCGGCCUCGUGGCCACGGGGUUUAGGCGGCACCGCGACGGCAGGGCUCGAGGAGGGCGCGGGAACGGAACAGACACGUCGACGCGGCGACGGACGGAAGCUGGGGUGACGAGCUAGGGGACGAAGUCCCUGCUCUGCUACCUGCGGGCGCGGCACGCAACUGGAGCGGUCGUUCCGGGUCGCGGACGCAGGUCGGCUGGCCCGGUCCGGGUUACAAGCCAAAACAAGGCCUCAACACUCCUAAGCAAGCUGAUGCAGACAAACAGAAGAAGUACCUGAGCAAGAAGAAGGAACGCCCUAGAGUCCGUUCUACUGGUAUCGGAGCUUUAGUGAAGAUAGAAACGAACGAUCAACAAACAAGAUAGCGAUACAGUGCGAUGGAUGGUGAACAAUAUAGUACGGAGGGUAUAACGGUACAGUUCGGAGAUUGGGUGGAAGGAUCGUUUAGCGACGAACCGAUACAAUGGCGAAAACGAGUCUGGGAGAAUAUCGCAACGAUCAACGUCCACUUCGACUUCAAACAAGGAACAACCUUGUACCUAUACAACCCUAUAGUGUUAUAUAGAAUAAAUUAAUUACGUAGAUAUAUGAACCAUUUCCCACCUUCCGAGUCGGAAUACGGACCACAAAACAAGGUGAGAACGACGGGAUCAAAGGCAGUAUGGCUACAAUACAAGGAACUAAAACGCAAGGAAGGCGACAACCCACAAUACCCUUGGGCAACUAUCAAAUGAAACUUGUUUUGAGGAGGUCGAUCCGGGUUGGAACCAAAAUGUAAACGGGUUGUUGGAUAAUGGGAAGGGAACCCAGCCGGUUGGGCUCCCAGUAGAAAUAAAAUUGGGGGCCCGGUCACGAAGAGAUUCACAACCAGGCUUAACCCGCUACAGGCCGCGGGGGACCCGUUGGUCCCAGAUACGGUUGGGCUGCAGAACGGGUAGGCCACACGACUAUGCAGAGGUUGCAUAGAUAUUAAAAACUAACGAGGUACGAUAUAAUAGAUGACAAAACCCGUUAUAACCCGAAAUAAUAGGUGAAAAUAUAAUAAAAACCCUGAUUGGAUAAUUGGCCUCCGGGUCGGGUCUAAACAACAAAAUACGGAUAAAGUCACAAAGCUUCUUUUCCUUAUAGUUUGCUUCAGCUUUGCCUUGCUUUAGUUGACCUCUUCAAUAAAAACCUUCCUUUCGUUGGGUCCCCUGAACCUCACGUACAAUCCCCUCUGUACUCGACGCGUGCUCCCACCCCC
Molecule: ribosomal RNA, 1984 nt
Filed under: Triticum aestivum (bread wheat)
Lineage: Eukaryota; Viridiplantae; Streptophyta; Magnoliopsida; Poales; Poaceae
Description: partial small subunit ribosomal RNA
Source: RNAcentral